RNAcentral lists this long non-coding RNA (222 nucleotides) under Panax ginseng (ginseng). Its description in RNAcentral is "long non-coding RNA (PGIN_LNC017944)". Lineage: Eukaryota; Viridiplantae; Streptophyta; Magnoliopsida; Apiales; Araliaceae. The record is from RNAcentral.
AUAAUGGAAUAACAGAAGAAUUUCACCAAGUAUAGGGUAUCCCGCGUAUACAGGUUAUUCCAACAGAAUAAUAAAGAAUGGAAUAACAAAAGAAUUUCACCAAUAAGAAAGAAGGAAUACCCCUAACGAGUACAACAAAUAAUAUUUCUUACCGUAAAAGAAGAGUAUUUUGACUGGUAGAGCGAGGAUAUACUCAAAGAAAACUUGCACUACGCUCAAAGC